This 449-nucleotide ribosomal RNA is filed under the name uncultured Thiobacillus sp. RNAcentral's name for it is "bacterial SSU rRNA". It matches the Rfam family "Bacterial small subunit ribosomal RNA", at positions 933 to 1382 of the family's 1533-position model. Lineage: Bacteria; Pseudomonadati; Pseudomonadota; Betaproteobacteria; Nitrosomonadales; Thiobacillaceae. The record is from RNAcentral.
UGGAUGAUGUGGAUUAAUUCGAUGCAACGCGAAGAACCUUACUACCCUUGACAUGUCCGGAACUUGCCAGAGAUGGCUUGGUGCCCGAAAGGGAACCUAGACACAGGUGCUGCAUGGCUGUCGUCAGCUCGUGUCGUGAGAUGUUGGGUUAAGUCCCGCAACGAGCGCAACCCUUGUCAUUAAUUGCCAUCAUUCAGUUGGGCACUUUAAUGAGACUGCCGGUGACAAACCGGAGGAAGGUGGGGAUGACGUCAAGUCCUCAUGGCCCUUAUGGGUAGGGCUUCACACGUAAUACAAUGGUCGGUACAGAGGGUUGCCAACCCGCGAGGGGGAGCCAAUCCCAGAAAACCGAUCGUAGUCCGGAUUGUAGUCUGCAACUCGACUGCAUGAAGUCGGAAUCGCUAGUAAUCGCGGAUCAGCAUGUCGCGGUGAAUACGUUCCCGGGCCUU